GGGCCUGUAGCUCAGCUGGGAGAGCGCUAGCAUGGCAUGUUAGAGGUCGUCGGUUCGAUCCCGAUCAGGUCCACCA
RNAcentral lists this transfer RNA (76 nucleotides) under Pseudobdellovibrionaceae bacterium. RNAcentral describes it as "Bdellovibrionaceae bacterium (activated sludge metagenome) tRNA-Ala". It matches the Rfam family "tRNA". From Rfam's summary of the family: Transfer RNA (tRNA) molecules are approximately 80 nucleotides in length. Their secondary structure includes four short double-helical elements and three loops (D, anti-codon, and T loops). The record is from RNAcentral. Lineage: Bacteria; Pseudomonadati; Bdellovibrionota; Bdellovibrionia; Bdellovibrionales; Pseudobdellovibrionaceae.